UUUUGUAGAUAAUCAGUAUUCAAGGCAACUCGACAAAGUAAAUAUCGGUAACUUUCGUGCGAUAGUGCAUAUCUUUGAAUGUCUCAAUUCAAUGUUAUCGUAAUAUUAUAUGCGAAUAAUAAUAGUAACACGUUCCGAUGAUCUGGUAAAAGUCGAAAUCUGAACUUUUUUUUCGCUUGUAUUCGUGGAUGGAAUUUAACGCGACGAUAUUACACGGGGCUUUUUGUCGAAUUAUUGGUUUAGGUUGUUAUCAGGCAACUCCUGAAACGAACUUAUCCUAUCGUACAUACACGUUCUGCGUGUCAGUAAUUACGAGCGACGAUAAUACUGUCGCACGUAGAAAACGAACUUGAAUAUUCCAUUCCGCCAGGUGAAUACCGUUUGCAGUUGUCAACGUGUUCUCCUUUCGCAUUCUUGGUGGAACGAAUCGGCUCCUUGUGUUGUAAAAAAAUUUUGUUCACUGCUGCAUUGUUUCACCGUAUCGUAAGUUCUUCCUCCUUUCGUCGCCAGUUCAGCCUCGCCGUUUUAGUUGUCGGUCUGAUCGAUCGAUCCCAACGAUCAAUAAACUUUUCACUUGAAAGUUUGUUCGUUCGGCUCGAGUUAUCAGAUCGAGGAAGAACGUACUUCACUCUCCGAGAUGCCAUUGACACGCUGUUACGAAAAAUCCGAUCUUCGAUUCUGUUUCUGGAGGUGUUUUCUAUAUUCUACUGCGCGUUGCUCUAAUUCUCGAUCCGUUGGUGUAUAAGCUGCUUUCUCCGAAGAAACCUUACGUGCAUGGACAUUAUCGGCCUGCAUCGUCAUCGUUAGUAUUUAAGACGUUUAUAUAACUGUCCUAUUUUACUUAUGCAUAACUUUUAAUCCUACAUUGGCGUGAAUAAUUUGGAAAAUGCACUUUAAAAUGCAUUGUAAGUUACAUAUUGCAUAUAUGUGUAUAAAUUGGGACCGAGAUUUCCGUUGCUUACUGUUUUGCGCUUUUCAUGUUCCUCAGGCGACGGAUCAAUCGAUACUGUGAAACCGUCGUUAACCAGAAUGGACGAAUUAAUUCGUCAGCUGCGUCCGAUUGUGUGUCCUCUCAACGUUUAUCAAAUUAUUUAUUUACCAAGCGAUAAACAAUCAAGACAAAUACAGCGACGAAAUAAAGCUCUUUUGUAUCUGAAAUGAUGGUAUGAGACUUACUUAAUUCUCUGUGUACGUCGUACCUGGUUUCUAUAGAAAUACAUAUUGUAUUCGUGGCAACAAUCAAUAUCGACGCCCGCAUCGAAUGACCGAGCAUUCGCAUAUGCAACACACACGUGUAAUUUCAAGGAUGAAGGAAUUUUUAUUACACUCUCAUGUAACUUAAAUAAAUUAUAUUCAGUAGACUGAUAUUCAUAAUCUUAAAUAUGAAAUGUUCUUAUAUCUCCGAGUAUGUUAAAAAUGUAUCUACGUUUCAAUAAUACAUUUUACUGGA
This is a long non-coding RNA of Megalopta genalis, 1450 nucleotides long. RefSeq lists it as uncharacterized. Lineage: Eukaryota; Metazoa; Arthropoda; Insecta; Hymenoptera; Halictidae. The record is from RefSeq and is a predicted model, not a curated record.